GGAAGAUGAUUGAGAGGAAGGCGACCAGCUAACUAGCAGCAUCGAGAGUGAAGAUCCAGAGCUCAAAAGAGAUGAAAUCAGAAGAACCGAAAUUUGGUUUCCAAAUUUGGGAUUUAGGCCCCAAUUUGAGCGGACACAGAUUCUUGGUUUUGGAUAUCCUGCUUUUGAUGUUUUGAAACUAAGGACAAGAACAAAGCAAAGAUUGAAUAGCUCAGAUAUGGGGUCAGCAAAAUAAAGAUAAAAAUAUUUCUCUUCUCCCAAUACUUGUGUUUUCAAUUUUUUCCUUGUAUUAUCUUUUUUUGAUAUGAUAAUUUGAUUUAAUUUUUGGAAAUAUGUACAAUAAUUUCCUGAGUUGCAAAUUGUGUUAAGAAAUAUUCACAUUUAGAUGAGUUUUCUUUAAAUCA
Molecule: long non-coding RNA, 404 nt
Organism: Lycium barbarum (goji berry)
Lineage: Eukaryota; Viridiplantae; Streptophyta; Magnoliopsida; Solanales; Solanaceae
Exons: 2
Source: RefSeq, a predicted model, not a curated record